GUCAGUAACCCAGCCCUAAACGGACUGAGCUUGCAAGAGUAAUCAAGCAAGCCGUACUGACCAGACCACCCUGAGCGUCUUGCCCUGACUUGUGCCGAGCGAAGUCGAGGUAGCGAAGUCGAAGGGAGUCGAAGGGUAGCCGUUAUUUGAGUCACGACACCCACCGAAUGCGUAGCCCCUUCGGGGUUCAGCAGUCGCUCAUGGGGGAAACCCCCAAGACCGCGCUGCUUCACUAGUUCCCUGCUCUGUCAUUUGCAAUUAAACAGUUUUAGGGUCACUGAAACAGUGUUGCAAGUCUAAAAAGCUUUUAUAACUGGUCGUUCGCGCCAGCGUGCCGGAGGCAUCUAGCUAACAUUAC
Non-coding RNA from Aphanizomenon flos-aquae, 358 nucleotides. Lineage: Bacteria; Bacillati; Cyanobacteriota; Cyanophyceae; Nostocales; Aphanizomenonaceae. The record is from Rfam.